RNAcentral lists this long non-coding RNA (1276 nucleotides) under Bos indicus x Bos taurus (hybrid cattle). RNAcentral's name for it is "lncRNA (ENSBIXG00000008716.1)". The record is from RNAcentral. Lineage: Eukaryota; Metazoa; Chordata; Mammalia; Artiodactyla; Bovidae.
AGAGAAGGUGAACUUACGUUGCCUGCCCUGGGGUCCCAGGCCUCUAACUCUGUGAGAGCGGCCGUGCUGGGGCCCCAGUCCACAGGCGUGGCUCAGAUCCGAGCUCCAUCACUUGUGGGACGGGGUGGGGCUGAAAGCUGGGGCCUGACGUCCUCUUCAGGGCUCAGGCCCAGCUCCCUGGACACGCCUUGCUCGUGGUGGAAGGGCGGAAGGAGGGGAGCUGGCUCUGCCCAGACCUCCUCCGUGGCCUGGCUGGCUCGUGGUGACGCAGGGCCCUUGGGGGAGCCUGCAGGGUGGGCACGAGUCUCUGUCGGAGCCCGCCUCGCUGGCCUGAGCUCUGUCACUCUCUUCCUGCUGCUGCUCGGCCGGGGACUCGGUUUAAGCGAGGGCCGGGCACUGUCUGGCACUGCUCACCAGGGAAGCCCAAGGGCUGUGCUGGAAGUUUCUCUGGAGACUACAGGGGUCCCGACCGCAAGAAGCCUGGAGUGUUUCUUCAUUCUUCAGUCUGUGACUCAGCAGCAAGACAUGAGAGCCAGUGUUUUGCAAGAGUCUCCGUGCAGUGGCGGGUACCCCGGCCCUGGCGCCAGAGCCAGGCGGGCACGGAGCGUCGCCACCCGCCUGCCCGGGGAGGACGCAGCCCCAAGGGGUGGGGCGAGCCGGAGCCAGCCGGUCAAUGCCGGACGCCGGGCCGGGGCCUCGGGCAGCACCGCGACGCAUAGGGCUCCUCUGUUUGUGUGGCUGAGACUCACUGCAGCAAAGGGUCCCUGAGGUGUCCGCCGGACUGUGUCACCCAGCUGUUCCCUAGGGAACUGGGGGGACGUGCCCCGGUGGCUCCUAAGCCACCCUGGUACGCGUCUCUUUCCCUCUUGGCUUGAGCUUCCCACCGUCCACCAGGCUUUCACAGACUUUCACAACGCCCCAGUCUGCCUUGUUCUGCGCCAUGUACAGUGUUUAGCAACUCUUGCUCCAUCCGCCCUGCCCAGAAUCCUGGGGAGCAGGCAGAGCGGGAAUCACCAUCAUCAGUUUGCAAAUGAGGAAGGAGCUCAAAGACUUCUGAGGCUUGGCUGGGCACCCACAGCACGGCCAGGCCUGGCUCUGGGUCCUCUGUCCCCACUGGUUUCCUUUCUCACUGAGUCUCCAGCUCUGCAGAAAGCCAUUGCCCUUGUCCUCUGUGGACCGAGAGCUGACCUUCAGUUUUCCAACUGAGACACUUGGUUUAAACUGUGGACCUGCACGGGUGCACACAUUGGUGCGCACGCACGCACACACACACACA